GGUGAUGUAGGUUGGUCAUGCCUCUGGUAUGUACUGGUCUCACCGAUUCCUCCUUCCUGAUGAGCCGUAAUGCCAUUAAUUUGGUGUUGCGAGGAAUCUGGACUGUUACUUUGAAAAAUUAGAGUGUUUAAAGCAGGCUAACGCUUGAAUACAUUAGCAUGGAAUAAUGAAAUAGGACGUUCGAUCCUAUUUUGUUGGUUUCUAGGAUUGACGUAAUGAUUAAUAGGGAUAGUUGGGC
Molecule: ribosomal RNA, 238 nt
Filed under: uncultured Glomeromycotina
Lineage: Eukaryota; Fungi; Glomeromycota
Description: partial 18S ribosomal RNA
Rfam family: Eukaryotic small subunit ribosomal RNA
Source: RNAcentral